UCCCCAUCCUUGCGGUGCCGCUCCCAGUCCCCGCCUCUUCCAAGAAAAUCCCACGGAGUACCCUAAAAAAAAAUCCCACGGAAAAGUUUCCCCUCUUCCACCAAGCUUCCAGGUUCCUCUCCUCUCCACCGAGUUCGAGCAGCCGCGGCAGCAGUAGCCAUGUGGCGUUCGCGCGGCGGCGGCAACCAGGACAUCGGCGCUAGGUCAUACACGAAGCGGAGGGCAUGCCGUUGCUGGCUUACAACGGGGGCUUCGUCGUGGUCUUAGUUCCUGCUGAACGUCUAUGGCGGCAUGCUCGCCUACAUCAUCGACCUUCCACCACUCUAGUAGCAGUAGCAGUAUCAAGUGUACUGUCGACGCGUUUGAUCCUUCUAGAGCCUCUGGGAGUGAAACAUGGAGUUGUCGUUCGUAGUUCAGUCUGUCCAUGCUACCUCCGCUGGAACUUGAGGUGCUUGAUGAAGAUGAAGAAGAGGAAGGCGAACAGGGCGAUGAUGGCCAGGUGCAGGCAUGUGACAAGGUUGAAGUAGCGGUUC
Long non-coding RNA from Triticum dicoccoides, 533 nucleotides. RefSeq lists it as uncharacterized. The transcript is spliced from 3 exons. The record is from RefSeq and is a predicted model, not a curated record. Lineage: Eukaryota; Viridiplantae; Streptophyta; Magnoliopsida; Poales; Poaceae.